RNAcentral lists this long non-coding RNA (1451 nucleotides) under Oryzias sinensis (Chinese medaka). Its description in RNAcentral is "lncRNA (ENSOSIG00000002609.1)". Lineage: Eukaryota; Metazoa; Chordata; Actinopteri; Beloniformes; Adrianichthyidae. The record is from RNAcentral.
AAAAUUAUUGCUUGUCUUUGUUAUUAACUAUACAGUUUAAUGUUUAUUUAUAUUUAUAAUUAUUCUCUUUAGAAACAGUUUUUUAGGAUCUUUUUGCCUGAAUUUUUUUGAAUUUUUGUUUCUUUGUUUACUUAAUAAAUAUCUUUAUUAAUUUCUGUAGUUUAGAAAUACAAUAAACGAAUGUGAUCAGGUUUAGUUAGUCUCUGAAGCGUUUUGUAGUCAAAUCUGAACAUUGGAACGAGACACAGUGUAAUGACGUCACAACAGCUCUCAAAACGUUUCCUCGAUACAUUUUUUUGUCUAUUUUGAUUUUCUUUUUUUAUUAUCUCCUGAAUUGAAACUGUUUAAAAAAUAUUGGAAGCUUUAUGAAUCAUAUUGAGGUUCAGUUCAGCAAGUUUAUACGUUUCUUUUUAAAUAAAGUAUCUGCACGUGACCCGGAAGUAAACAGCACGAGGCGCUAGCAGCGUUAGCUUGUUAGCAGGCUAGCAGCGUUAGCUUGUGUUGAGAGGUCGGUGGUGUUUUGUUGGGGCGUUUGUGAGGUUUUUGGACAGAAAGGACGAUACGUGGUUCGUGUGGGAACUCUCAGCAUUUUCCAAAGUGUCGUAAAUGAGUGAAGAAGUGUUGAACGGAAAGACAACGUGGAUUGCUGUGAUUGUGAGACUAGCAGAUGAUCGAUCGGAGCUGCAGUGAAGAGGACGGCGGUGUUUGUGGGAGUUGGAGCUGAAGAUCGGAGCAGGAACCAUGUCUUCAGAACCUCAGGAAGGUUCUGUCAGAGAACAACUUUCUGCUGCUGAAGGAACCAUCGUCCAGAACGAGGAGCAGCUCUGUCGUCAGCGCAGACUGCUGGAUAGCAGCUGGAACCCGCAGCUUCAGCUACACAUAGUUGUCCUCCCCCAGCAUUGGAUGACCGAAGAGGAGGAUCUCUGCAACCAGCAGAGGAACUUCAAAGUGGAACAGGAGGAACCAGAAUCUCCACAAAUUAAAGAGGAACUGGAGGAACCAGAACCUUUACAGAUGAAAGAGGAACUGGAGGAACCAGAACCUCCACAGAUGAAAGAGGAACAGGAGGAACCAGAAUCUCCACAANNNNNNNNNNAUUAAAGAGGAACUGGAGGAACCAGAACCUUUACAGAUUAAAGAGGAACUGGAGGAACCAGAACCUUUACAGAUUAAAGAGGAACUGGAGGAACCAGAACCUCCACAGAUUAAAGUGGAACAGAGUCAACCAGAACCUCCACAGAUUAUAGAGGAACUGGAGGAACCAGAACCUCCACAGAUUAAAGAAGAACUGCAGAGCUUCAAUGUAACUGAUAGUCAGGAUGAAGAAGGAAACCAACAUGAAGAAUCCACAUCAACUACAGAUGAAGAGACAGAAUCAACAUCAACUACAGAUGAAGAGACAGACCCACAGAACAGAGAUCAGAGGAAGAGAAGAGGUAGAAGUCAUGUCC